This 710-nucleotide ribosomal RNA is filed under the name Vibrio parahaemolyticus. RNAcentral's name for it is "partial 23S ribosomal RNA". It matches the Rfam family "Bacterial large subunit ribosomal RNA", at positions 1 to 765 of the family's 2925-position model. Lineage: Bacteria; Pseudomonadati; Pseudomonadota; Gammaproteobacteria; Vibrionales; Vibrionaceae. The record is from RNAcentral.
GGUUAAGUGAAUAAGCGUACACGGUGGAUGCCUAGGCAGUCAGAGGCGAUGAAGGACGUAGUAACUUGCGAUAAGCGUAGAUUAGGCAGUAACAGCCACUUGAGUCUACGAUUUCCGAAUGGGGAAACCCACGUGCAUAAGCACGUAUUAUUAACUGAAUACAUAGGUUAAUAAGGCGAACUCGGGGAACUGAAACAUCUAAGUACCCGAAGGAAGAGAAAUCAACCGAGAUUCCGAAAGUAGCGGCGAGCGAAAUUGGAUUAGCCCUUAAGCUUUAUAUGCGUCAGGUGAAGGCUCUGGAAAGUGCCGCGAUACAGGGUGAUAGCCCCGUAACCGACAACGCAUACUAAGUGAAAUCGAGUAAGGCGGGACACGUGAUAUCCUGUCUGAAUAUGGGGGGACCAUCCUCCAAGGCUAAAUACUCCUGACUGACCGAUAGUGAACCAGUACCGUGAGGGAAAGGCGAAAAGAACCCCUGUGAGGGGAGUGAAAUAGAACCUGAAACCGUGUACGUACAAGCAGUAGGAGCACCUUCGUGGUGUGACUGCGUACCUUUUGUAUAAUGGGUCAGCGACUUAUAUUUAGUAGCAAGGUUAACCGUUUAGGGGAGCCGUAGGGAAACCGAGUCUUAACUGGGCGUCGAGUUGCUAGGUAUAGACCCGAAACCAGGUGAUCUAGCCAUGGGCAGGUUGAAGAUUGAGUAACAUCAA